GAACGUGAUUAUGCUCUGUACGCGAAAGCACUUCUAUAUCACCGAUGUCGCCUGGUUUCCUAGAGCAGAGAGAGACCAGUUUAUAUUAUAUCAAAAUAAAUGUGAUGAAAUUGCCGAUUUAUAAAGAGAUUAAUAUUUUGCGACGCAUUAGUGCUAUUCACAAAUCAGAAGUUUAGUCUACGUAAGGAUUGGUUAAGCACUGUUUCUCAAUUUAGGUGUAAUAGGAAAACAUCAAAAUACGACUAAUGAAGACAUAUCAGCUCCAAUUUAUAAUAACAAAACUAUAAGCAAUCUAUAAGUUUAUAAUAAUUAUAAGAAAUUAAUAAUAAAAAUAUUUAUUUUAAACAUAAAUAAAAAUAGAGUACAAAUUCAUUUAACCUCAGUAUAAUUUAAUCUACUAUCUGGAUUCAAAAAAUUAAAAUUGUAAUAUUAGGUCGUUGCAUUUUGUAUCGUAUUUCUGUGUAUUAUGUAAUUUCUGUCGUAUUUUUGGAAAAAAUAUGCAGCACAAUUUUUAAAUGUUAAAAAAGUUAUAUAUAAACGGUUUUACAGGAAUUUAACAAGAAUUCCUAUCAAACGCCCAAUUGUUCGACUGCCAUAUCACUUGAUAUAAUGGCGGAUUUUCAUGCUCUAGUCUAGAAAAAGGAUUAACCGCUCGCACACGUGUUUUAAUUAUAAUUAUUUAAUGCUUUUUCUUUAUUUAAAAGAAAUCAAUAAAAAAAUAAAAAAUAAGUGAAAAAAGAAAAAAGAACAUUUCAACUUGGAACCUGACGUAGGUUUCACGUUGGGACGAUUUUUAUCGUUAAACAUCUUGGUAAUCUUAAAGACUAAAUGUUGAAAUUUAAGGUGACCUCAGUGGUAUCAAUGACCUUGAUAUAUUGUCAAGGACAUGACACUGACUUGCAGAAAGUUUUUAGCCGUCGCUCGUUGUUUAUUAAAAAGUUAUUAACAAGAUAAGUUUAUAAAAAAUCGCCCUUAAUCUUAUUAUUUACCGAGUCAAGUUACAAAUUGUGUGUUCUGUAGUAAAAUGACUUUCUCAAAUGGAGGCUCUAAAACUACCCUUUCCGUUAUGGAAGUAACAUGUCAACUCGAGAUAACUCGAAAACAGACAUUUCUAAAUGACAAAUUGGAAUAAUAAAAACAGCAAUUAUAGUUUCAUGUAUUUAUUUGACAUUUUUUUGACUUCACAUAAUAUAAUAUUUAGUAACUUUAUAUAUUUACAGAUCAUCGACUCAGUGCAUAGUCUAAACGUACUUUGCUCGGAAAUCGAUUUAUUUACAAAAAUGCGUCUGAAUUUUUAAUGGAACAAUCUUUAAGUCUGCAAAUACAAUGGAACAAUAUCUCAUCCGCUAUAUUUUUCCAUUCAAUCAAAACAGAAACGUAAUCAUCGCAAUUGCACUUUGCAGAAAAAGAUUUUUAAGUGACGGCUCUCUGCAUUUUAUUUAUAACUCCGGCCAUUUUUCCACACGUUUCGCACCGAAUAUUGAUAAAUGAGCUCUUCACAAUUUUCAGAAAUAAAGUUACAUGUAGACACCAGAAAUUUUGCAUAAUACAGCAAUCCUUCAAAAACGCUUUAACAUUCUAGAAAAGAAAUCUCCCUUCUACCCGCCGUUGUAAUAUUAUCUGUGAAACCCUGACGGCAAAAUGGGGUGUCUGGUAAUAAAGUUAAUUACUCCAAGGCUCGUAAAGGCUCGUGAGCGUGUUGAGUUGAAUAAAAAAGCUCUAUCAUCUUCCAAACAAUCACGUAAAAUUUUUAAGUAUCAAAUAAAAAGGAUUAGCAAGUGAGAAGACAUCUCAGACGACGAGGCGUAGCACUCUACGGUAGCGACCUAUUAGAAAAUAUUAAAAAAGGACGCUAGCAAUGCAUUGUUUAUCCUCCCCUCCUUUGCCGCGUAUGUUUAUUGCUAGGUAAUACGGUCAUUUGAUUGGCGUGUCGAGAGUACUCCACGUAUCACCUCAGCGCUCAUUUAUUAAUCCUUUUUACUUAAUAUCUUAUUACCUUCAUUACCAGACACCUUGUAUAUGCAUGUAAAGUAUCCCUUAAAUUCGUAAAUUCUCAGCUGGAAAUUUUAAAACUGAUUAAAUUGACUCACGUCAAGAAUUAUUUCAACUUAUUUGAUUGCUUAAUCGAAAAACUGAUUUAUGUAAAACAUGCAAUUUUAGUUUUGAAGUAUUCAAUAUCCUUUACUUUCUUUUUUUACCGUGUGUAGCAAACUAACAAUUUCGAUACUCAAAGAGAUUCCAUUAUCUCUCUAUAUAAAUAUAAAUAAACUCAGUACUUCUUUAAUAAAAAUCAACGCAUCGAUUUUUAUUAAAAGGAAAUUAAAUCCAUUAUUACUCUAUCGUACCAUAUAUUAUUUUUUGUAAAUUUGGAAAUAUAUGACAGUACCUUAAAACCCUUAAAAAACGCAAUUCAAUUAAUGUUACAUAUUUAAAUUUAAGACAGUUAUUAGAGACAAUAUUAUGGGUGAAAUGAAAAGCACUGUCUUAAUUUGUAACGCCGUACAUGUGUGUGUGUGUGUGGGUGUGUAUUUAUACAUAUUACACACGCGCGCGCGCGCACACACACACACAAAAGUAGCAUUGAAACAAAAAACAUUCCCGAUGGUAUUUGCAUUAAGAUAUCAUGGUGACACGACUCAAAGGUCCUUUACUCUUUGUUCUAAUACACUUUGUACAUUUAUGGACGCUUGUGCAAGCUUAACUCUGAUGGAUCGGUCAGAGAUAUCAAUCUAAACAAUCGUGCUUAAUAUGAUCUUCAAAAAUUAAAGAAUACGACGAAAACGAAAAUGCUAUGAAACGAGAUCUCUUUCUCUCUCUCUCUCCCUUUCCCUUUCUGUCACAUGUGACAUCAUGCAACACUUACAGUGCCAUAUUUGUAGGUUUCUUUUCUUUUUUUACUGAUUCUACAACAAACGCGACAAAUACAGUUAGCGCGAUGUUAGAGUCCCAUAAUGCCGUUCUGCAUUUUUCAGAUUUCACUCAGAGCAACUUUCGUUGCAAUGCAGACGCCUUAAAUUCUGUAAUUGUAAUUUAAUUUGUUUAACGUAUGUAUGCUAUAGUGUCAUAUUUAUGAGUCAUUUACAUGCAGUGUCUCUCUCUAACAUGCUCACUUUCCCCGUUUUCUGAGCGCAUUGAUUAAUAUAUAUUUCCAUAUAUAUUAAUAUAUUAAUCCACAUUUGCGAGAUUAUUGAACACAGGCAGACGUUACGAACAAAGCUUAAUAGUAAACUGUCCUUUACAUUAUAUCACUAUGUUGAGGCAAUUUUAUAGAUUGGAUAACAAGUGUUUAAAGGAUUGUAAUUCAUAUUAAUCUUUCAUAUCUAAAAACAAAAAGCAUAGCUAUAAUAGUAACAGCAUGCAUAUGGAUCGAUGUAGUGACCCUCUAAUAAGAGUCUGGCCAUAAGAGCGAUUGGGUCAAAAUCGUGCGAGAGAGAAAGAUGAAUUAUACUCAUCUUUCUAUAAGAUGAGUUAUACUACAAGAUGAGUUAUACUCAAAAUGAGUUAUACUCAUUGAAAUGUAGCGUGGACUAUCUGUAGCGCAUGCGUGAGCACAUGCGUAGCGAAUAUAUAUAUAUAUCUUUCUCUCUCGCACGAUUUUGACCAAAUCGCUUAUGGCCAGACUCUUAUUAGAGGGUCUCUAGAUCGAUGUAAUCAGAAAUGUAACGUUUUUGCUAUAUCUGAUAUAAAAGACUUUGAGUUGUAUAAUUUUCUCAAAGUUAUGUUAUUAUGGCAUUUUUUGAAAUUAGUGAUAUUACAUAUAAAUAAGCUUAUAAUUUUAUAUGUAUAAAUCUAAAGAAUUUUACUUAUUAUCUUUUUGCUGGAUUGUUAAACAAGUGUUUGUGUUAAGUAAAUGGAUCUCAUGUUUCUGAUAUAAGUCCUUAUAGAGUUACAUGCUUUUAUAAAAAGAAAAUAUCAUAUGCAGUAAAAUAAAAACUGUUGAUUGUAAUUAAUUAAUGACUAUAAAUUUGAAUAUAUAAAAUGCGUCGAUAUGAAUGCCAUGCAAUUAGAAAAAAAAAAAAAAAA
This 4023-nucleotide long non-coding RNA is filed under the name Ooceraea biroi (clonal raider ant). Its description in RNAcentral is "uncharacterized LOC105280653, transcript variant X2". Lineage: Eukaryota; Metazoa; Arthropoda; Insecta; Hymenoptera; Formicidae. The record is from RNAcentral.